GCUGGAGGCAGUGGCUCAUGCCUGUAAUCUCAGCGUCUUGGAAGGCUGACGCAGGAAGAUCGCUUGAGCCCAGGAAUCGUGGGCUGUAGUGCGCUAAGACUGGCAUCAAUACGGUGACCUCCUGGGAGAGGCAACCACAAGGCUGCCUAAGGAGGAGUGAACUGGCCCAGGUCAGAAACAGAGCAGGUUAAAACUCCCCCAGUGAUCAGCAGUGGGGUCCUGCCUGUGAAUAGCCACUGCAUUCCAGCCUGGACAACAUAGUGAGACCCUGUCUCUA
Unclassified non-coding RNA from Macaca fascicularis (crab-eating macaque), 277 nucleotides. It matches the Rfam family "Metazoan signal recognition particle RNA". From Rfam's summary of the family: The signal recognition particle (SRP) is a universally conserved ribonucleoprotein. It is involved in the co-translational targeting of proteins to membranes. NCBI's taxonomy places the organism in Eukaryota, Metazoa, Chordata, Mammalia, Primates, Cercopithecidae. The record is from Ensembl.